RNAcentral lists this ribosomal RNA (250 nucleotides) under uncultured bacterium. RNAcentral's name for it is "partial 16S ribosomal RNA". It matches the Rfam family "Bacterial small subunit ribosomal RNA", at positions 71 to 339 of the family's 1533-position model. The record is from RNAcentral.
AAGUACCCUUCGGGGGACGGACAGUGGCGGACGGGUGAGUAACACGUGGGAACAUGCCUUUCGGUACGGAACAACGUUUGGAAACGAACGCUAAUACCGUAUACGCCCUUAGGGGGAAAGAUUAAUCGCCGAAAGAUUGGCCCGCGUUAGAUUAGCUAGUUGGUAAGGUAAUGGCUUACCAAGGCUACGAUCUAUAGCUGAUUUGAGAGGAUGAUCAGCCACACUGGGACUGAGACACGGCCCAGACUCC